AGUGAACGCUGGCGGUAGGCCUAACACAUGCAAGUCGAACGGCAGCACAGGAGAGCUUGCUCACGGGGUGGCGAGUGGCGGACGGGUGAGGAAUACAUCGGAAUCUACUCUGUCGUGGGGGAUAACGUAGGGAAACUUACGCUAAUACAGUAUACGACCUACGGGUGAAAGCAGGGCACCUUCGGUCCUUGCGAGAGUGAAUGAGCCGAUGUCGGAUUAGCUAGUUGGCGGGGUAAAGGUCCACCAAGGCGACGAUCCGUAGCUGGUCUGAGAGGAUGAUCAGCCACACUGGAACUGAGACACGGUCCAGACUCCUACGGGAGGCAGCAGUGGGGAAUAUUGGACAAUGGGCGCAAGCCUGAUCCAGCCAUACCGCGUGGGUGAAGAAGGCCUUCGGGUUGUAAAGCCCUUUUGUUGGGAAAGAAAUCCAGCUGGCUAAUACCCGGUUGGGAUGACGGUACCCAAAGAAUAAGCACCGGCUAACUUCGUGCCAGCCGCCGCAGUAA
RNAcentral lists this ribosomal RNA (506 nucleotides) under uncultured bacterium. RNAcentral's name for it is "partial 16S ribosomal RNA". It matches the Rfam family "Bacterial small subunit ribosomal RNA", at positions 29 to 523 of the family's 1533-position model. The record is from RNAcentral.